UAAAAAUUUAAUUUGUUAUUCUAAGUUAUUAAUAGUUAUGGUCUUUAAAAUUAAAGAUUUUGGCGGUAUUUUAGUCUUUUCAGAGGAACCUGUUCUAUGAUUGAUAGUCCACGAUUAAAUGUACUUAAAUUAUUAAUUUAUAUAUCGUCGUAGUUGAAUAUUUUAAAAGAAUAUAAUAUUCAUAAAAUUUAAUUUAAUAAAAAAUCAGAUCAAGAUAUAGUUUAUAUUUAAGAAGAAAUGGGUUACAAUAAAAUAAUUUAUAUGGAAAUACUUAUUUAAAUAAGUAUAGAAGGUGGAUUUGAAAGUAAUUUGAUUUAUUUAAUUUAAAUGAUUUAAGCUCUAAAAUAUGC
Molecule: ribosomal RNA, 350 nt
Filed under: Melanophthalma sp. 2 NPL-2007
Lineage: Eukaryota; Metazoa; Arthropoda; Insecta; Coleoptera; Latridiidae
Description: partial 12S ribosomal RNA
Source: RNAcentral